ACGCUCGACACCUACGGGAGACAGCAGUGGGGAAUAUUGCACAAUGGGGGAAACCCUGAUGCAGCGACGCCGCGUGAGCGAAGAAGUAUUUCGGUAUGUAAAGCUCUAUCAGCAGGGAAGAAACUGACGGUACCUGACUAAGAAGCACCGGCUAAAUACGUGCCAGAAGCCGCGGUAAUCUGAGCGGCUGGCAAGGC
RNAcentral lists this ribosomal RNA (197 nucleotides) under uncultured bacterium. Its description in RNAcentral is "partial 16S ribosomal RNA". It matches the Rfam family "Bacterial small subunit ribosomal RNA", at positions 328 to 539 of the family's 1533-position model. The record is from RNAcentral.